CCUACGGGUGGCAGCAGUGGGGAAUAUUGGACAAUGGGCGAAAGCCUGAUCCAGCCAUGCCGCGUGUGUGAAGAAGGCCUUCGGGUUGUAAAGCACUUUCAGUGGGGAAGAAAGCCUUGGGGCUAAUACCCUCGAGGAAGGACAUCACCCACAGAAGAAGCACCGGCUGAACUCCGUGCCAGCAGCCGCGGUAAUACGGAGGGUGCGAGCGUUAAUCGGAAUUACUGGGCGUAAAGCGCGCGUAGGCGGUCUGAUAAGCCGGUUGUGAAAGCCCCGGGCUCAACCUGGGAACGGCAUCCGGAACUGUCAGGCUAGAGUGCAGGAGAGGAAGGUAGAAUUCCCGGUGUAGCGGUGAAAUGCGUAGAGAUCGGGAGGAAUACCAGUGGCGAAGGCGGCCUUCUGGACUGACACUGACGCUGAGGUGCGAAAGCGUGGGUAGCAAACAGGAUUAGAUACCCGAGUAGUC
This 466-nucleotide ribosomal RNA is filed under the name Vreelandella stevensii. Its description in RNAcentral is "partial 16S ribosomal RNA". It matches the Rfam family "Bacterial small subunit ribosomal RNA", at positions 338 to 795 of the family's 1533-position model. Lineage: Bacteria; Pseudomonadati; Pseudomonadota; Gammaproteobacteria; Oceanospirillales; Halomonadaceae. The record is from RNAcentral.